ACGCGACUGCGGUGCGAAGGCCGCGGGAAGGCGGGGGGGGCAAGCGUGAGUAGGAGUUAAUGUGGCGAAAGCGCACGCGGGCGAUCGUUCAAGGAGGAGGGGAAAUCGCCGUGAUCAACCCGGGAGUUGCAGUCGAAACUUGUGGGCUUGAGUGCGGAAGAGGGUGGUGGAAUUCCGGGUGUAGAGGUGAAAUUCGUUGAUAUCAGGAGGAACACCGGCGGCGAAGGCGACCACCUGGUCCGAUACUGACGCUCAUGUGCGAAAGCGUGGGUAGCAAACAGGAUUAGAUACCCCGGUAGUC
RNAcentral lists this ribosomal RNA (301 nucleotides) under uncultured Amycolatopsis sp. RNAcentral describes it as "bacterial SSU rRNA". The stretch from base 53 to 301 matches the Rfam family "Bacterial small subunit ribosomal RNA", at positions 547 to 795 of the family's 1533-position model. Lineage: Bacteria; Bacillati; Actinomycetota; Actinomycetes; Pseudonocardiales; Pseudonocardiaceae. The record is from RNAcentral.